AUACAUCGGUAAAUGUCAAAUGCGGCAUUGUCGUUUCAGCUGUCAUAGAGUACAAACAAAACUUGAAAGUUUCAUUGUAUCCGGAAUAUUCAUUUCAACAUUCGAAGAAAACAAAUAAACUAUACAAUUUCAAACAGCAUUAAGGUUUUUAUUCGUUGUGUGUUUCGUUGCCACAUUGCAGAACAAAAUUAGUCAACGAAUCAACAACCAACAUUCGUUUCCAAACGAACCUAACCUCAUUUUGUUCAAACCCACUGAUAACAUCGGGAAAUUGCUGCCAAAGUGCAUCGAUUUCCUGUGACCGACAGAGUAUUACCUACUUGUUGCAAAAAGUGAAAACACAAUAUUCUCCAAUCAUGUCAGCCGUCACUCUAGCUACCAACGAUUUUGUGAGUGGAGUUUACGCGACGAUUGGAUCCACAUUGUACUUGAACGAAGAAAAAGCCGAUUUCCAUUUCAUGUUCGAGUUCGAGAUGGUUCCAGCGAGUUCCAGCGAGUUCCAGCGCAUAAACUGUUGCUAACCACGGUCAGCGAUGUGUUUGAAACGAUGUUCAAUGGGUCGUGGCUUGAAGAGCACGAAGUCGAGAUUGUCGAUGCGCCGAUCGCCUCCUUCAAAGAGUUCCUGCAAUUCUUCUACUUGGGUCGAGUGAAACUGACCAUGGACAACGUGGCCAAAGUGAUGUAUCUCGCCAACAAGUACAACGUAACUGAAUGUUUGGCCCUGUGCACAAAGUUCUUGAGACGAAAAAUCACCGACGACAACGUUUGCUGGGCUUAUGGCCUGGAGAUUCUCCACAAACAAAACGAUUUAAAGAGGCUAUGUGAACUGAUGAUCGCACUCGAUACGAAGGCCAUUUUUUCAUCGACAAGUUUCUUGGAUUGCAACAAAAAAGCUCUUGGACACAUUUUGAAACUGGAUUCGUUUUCCUGUUCGGAAGCUGACGUUUUCGAGGCGUGCAUGGCCUGGGUCAUAAAUGCUAGCGAAGAAGACAGCUUGACGAAGGAGAUUGUUGAAGCUCAUUUAGGUGAAUUGUUCUACGCAAUUCGUUUUCCGUCGAUGUCAAUUGAAGGCUUUGCCAAACUCGAUCCUUUGUACGGCGGUCUAUUCACACUCGACGAAUACAGAGAAAUUGUUCAUUUGAUCGUAAUUGAAAAUGCUCAACCGAAAAUAUUCAAUGGAAUACGUCGUAAACACUUUGAAGCAAUUGAAUGUGAUGGAGUGGAUGAAAUAAAGUGUAUUCGAGCAAUCACGACAACAUAUUCGAUAACGCCCUAUUUCAUCAAAGACAUUGAAACAACGAGAUUCUCAACCAAUGAGCCAUUAGUACUUACAUUCUAUUGCACAAAACUUUGGGAAUAUCGGAAUAACAAAAAAACUCAAAGAAGAUUUAUCAUCUGAGAUAAAAAUCGUUCAAGUGAAUGCCUCAGGUGAAGAGGUUGUCCUGCACAACAACAAAAUAAAUUUAAAGACUGGCGACACCACACGUAUAUCAUUGGAGAAACCCAUCCUCAUCAAGCCCGGAAUGAUGUACGAAAUUCGAUUCGUCCAAACCCCACCAACUGAUUGUUGCACUGGUGUCCAAAUGAAAACUGAAGUACGAUUGGAGCCCGAUGUUAUUGUGCGGUUCCACGGUGAACCAAUACCUGAAAAUGAUGGCAUUGCACGGGGAUUAGUGCGUUGUCUAGGAUUCUACAGAGUUUAGGAAAGCGGACAUUGAGCCUAUCUGAAAAAGCUACAAUACAUUUUCAUAUUGUUUUUAUGGAGUUUUUUUUCGAUAGCACAUUGGUUUUCUUUUUUACAAACAGAAAUCAUAUUUCAUUGAAUCUAAAUGAUAUCGAGUCAAUGUCUCAGAACUAAACAAAAUAUUUUCCAAUAAAGUCAUUAACCCUUUAAUAAAUGUAGGGAAUUGAACCAGCUUUCAUGUGAUAGCUUACUCGUUACAAUUUGUCAGCUAUAUCGAAAGUUGUUUGUUCAUGUGCUAUGAAAAAUGCGAAUUUAUAGCAAAACUUCAAAUUUUUCUUCCUCUUAUCUUGACACUUUUGAUUUUUUUCCGAUUUUCUCAAUAAAUUCUCAAAUUUCUGAAAAUCCAAAUAUGAGGUUCAUCUCUAUUUAUCGUGGCAGUCGAAAUUAUUCAAAAAUUAAAAAAUCGCAAUCAAAGGAUUAAAAUGGAGUUUUUUUUUUCAAUGAAAAAUUCAAUAUAAUAAAAUAUAAUUCAUAUAAACAAUCUUUUCAAUCGUGUAUCUCAUUUGUAUCGACUGUUGCGAUCAAAAAGUGAAAUAAAUACAAUGCAUCAAAAUAAA
Long non-coding RNA from Sitodiplosis mosellana (orange wheat blossom midge), 2301 nucleotides. RefSeq lists it as uncharacterized. Lineage: Eukaryota; Metazoa; Arthropoda; Insecta; Diptera; Cecidomyiidae. The record is from RefSeq and is a predicted model, not a curated record. The transcript is spliced from 3 exons.